CAUCCCGCACAUGUAAGGUUGGAUCUUCUAUCUAGAUCUUGAAUGCCGACCUUUCGUACUUAGAAGGUGAAUACAACAGGCUGUUAGAAAGUAGUGCAUACUUCCUACACCUGUAUGUCAUGGAUGGGUUGAGCAAUGGGCAAAAAUUGGCAAAGAAAAAACCUGCUGCAAGAAAGGUAAAGCUGGAGAAACUGCUGAAAAGCAAAACAAUGAAUUGACAGACAGCUCAAGUAAUACGCUUAUCACUGAAAUGAGUUCCCUCGGAUAUGUAUGUGAUGGGUUGCCAAUCCAGAGAAGCUUUGAAGGAGUUGUUCUGACAAAAUGCAUAGUCAUUGUAAGAUGUUGGAUUUAAAUUUAAUUUCUAACUUAAAAAUGUACUGGUGGAAUGAAAAUAAAUUGAGUUGCAAAAUUAUUUGUUUAGUGGGUAGAUGACAUGGCAGAUGCUGGUACUUAUCAAUACACUCUUAAUUUUUAGAAGCAACAGUUACAAAAAAAGAUGAUAAACUAAAUGUGUAUGUGGUUUUUUCUGUGUGAUAAAAACAAGUCAUUUAACAAUUAUUUGUCAAGAGAAAAGUGAAUGUCUUGUGGGAUAAUGUCUUCCAGUGUAGACCCUAGCUAGGGUUCAGAGGUUAACUUACUGUCAUUCAAGUGAUGACUUUGCAGCACUAAUGGAACUGCUGGUGUCAUGGUAUAUCUUGCAGACCUCAGGGUCAGACAGGGUGGUGAAUAAGAUUGACUUUACAUCCUGUGAACUGGAAUAUGUUCUUGAUGUUAGUGCCCUCAGAUCCACAUACAAUUUCUGUUUCACAGUGUUUCCAACUUUACUCACAAGUGAAACAACAGUUCUUAGCUGUUUAGGCUCCUCUUCUGUAUCUAUAAGUUUCUGAUCUUUAGAAUCUCAUUUUCAUUCAAAAAAGUUCAUCCUAUUAGCAUAAGGCUUAUGUUAGUUUUGCUUCAGGAUAAUUUUUCAUUUUAAAUUAUUUCUAAAGUAGAAUGUGGACCAUUAAGGAUUGUAUUAUCUGUCAUCUUUUCAUUAAAAAUAAGUUGUAGU
This is a long non-coding RNA of Stylophora pistillata, 1051 nucleotides long. RefSeq lists it as uncharacterized. The record is from RefSeq and is a predicted model, not a curated record. NCBI's taxonomy places the organism in Eukaryota, Metazoa, Cnidaria, Anthozoa, Scleractinia, Pocilloporidae.